Molecule: ribosomal RNA, 1934 nt
Filed under: Sphaerospora olsoni
Lineage: Eukaryota; Metazoa; Cnidaria; Myxozoa; Bivalvulida; Sphaerosporidae
Description: partial 18S ribosomal RNA
Rfam family: Eukaryotic small subunit ribosomal RNA
Source: RNAcentral
GUUGGGUAGUGGCCAACCAAGGUGUCGACGGGUAACGGGGAAUCAGGGUUUGAUUCCGGAGAGGGAGCCUGAGAAACGGCUACCACAUCCAAGGGUGGCAGCAGGCGCGCAAAUUAUCCAAUCCAGAUAAUGGGAGAUAGCGACAAGACAUACCAGGAGUGACCUUCAUUAAGGUCAAUCACUGGAAUGGAUGCAAUUUAAAUACCUCAAUGAGGAACUACUGGAGGGCAAGUCUGGUGCCAGCAGCCGCGGUAAUACCGGCUCCAGUGGUGUAUCGCAUUGUUGCUGCGGUUAAAACGCUCGUAGUUUGAUAGUAGUAUGUAUGCCGACUGUAGCACUGUCCGUGUCCAUGCAUCACCCCGCGUGGGCGCGUAUAUUCAUCGCGGUCCGGGUGCCUCGGCAUUCCGGGUCGCGGUGGCCGCGUGUACGUGUGUGGGUGCGUGUGAUAUUUUGUGUCAGUGUAUCGUGGGUACGUGGAUGCUGUUUUCAAAACGGCGCCAUGCUAACCACUACAGUUGAACCACAUCGAGGAGUGUGCGGAGGACCACUGGUACGCCAGGCGUGUCAUCCGUAUGGCACUCCCUCGGUGCGCGCAUCCAGCCGCACCCCGUUUCCACUCGGUAACCCCGGGUGGUGGACGAGUGGCUGUGUGUUGGUGCGUGAUUUUUUGGUAUACAUAUUUAAAUUCACGGGAUUGGCCAUCAACUUCAGUGGUGGUGGUCAAGUGUACCUGUGGAAAGAUUGCCUUGAAUAAAAUAGAGUGCUCAAAGCAUGCUUGUGCUCGAAUAUGCUAGCACGGAACGAAUGUAUCCUAACCACCCCGUCGGGUGUAUGGCAGGAUUGUUGGUCUGCACACCUAUGUGGGUAUCGGUUAACAGGGACAUUUGGGGGCAUUGAUACUUGGCCGCGAGAGGUGAAAUUCUAAGACCGGCCAAAGAUCGACAAUUGCGAAAGCAUUUGCCAAGAAUGUUUUCAUUAAUCAAGAGCGAAAGUUGGAAGAUCCAAAUGGAUUAGAUACCCAUGUAGUUCCAUUACUUCAAAUUUUGCCAUCCUGGAUUCGAUCUUUAACACACAUCAUGUGGAAGAACGGAUCCACCGGGAAACCUAAAGUUUUUGGGUUCCGGGGGGAGUAUGGUCGCAAGGCUGAAACUUAAAGGAAUUGACGGAAGGGCACCACCAGGAGUGGAGCCUGCGGCUUAAUUUGACUCAACACGGGGAAUCUCACCAGGUCCGGACAUUGGCAGGAUUGACAGAAUGACAGAUCUUUCAUGAUUUGGUGGAUGGUGGUGCAUGGCCGCUCUUAGUUGGUGGAGCGAUCUGUCAGGUCAAUUCCGGUAACGAGCGAGAUCAACUUCUCUAUUUUGGUCGUCUUGAUAACUGUAUCCAUGUUUUUUCGUGUGCGCUGUCGCUCAGUGGCAUGGUACAUGGGCGUGUGUGGCUUCGGUCACGCGUGUCUGUGUGGUAUGUGACUGGGAUGGCGACGUACAUGGAUGUGGGCACUAGUGUCAGGUCACCUUCAUAGAGAGACAACCGGUGUUUUUACCAACCGGUGGAAGUGUGGCCAUAGCAGGUCUGUUAUGCCCUUAGAUGUUCUGGGCUGCACGCGUGCUACAAUGGAGGCGCCAGCGAGUUUAACCUUACCGAAAGGUACGGGUAAUCUUGUGAAUCGCCUUCGUGAUGGGGAUUGAGCUUUGAAAUUAUCGCUCAUGAACCUGGAAUUCCUCGUAAGUACGAGUCAUCAGCUCGGGCUGAAUACGUCUCUGCCCUUUGUACACACCGCCCGUCGCCACUUCCGAUUGGAUGGGCCGGCAAGAAUUUUGGAUUGAGAACAACUACCGGUGUGGUGGCCUCGGUCAUCAUAUCUUGUUGUUUUUGAGAUAUUGUUCGAGCCGGUUCAAUCAGAGGACGUGAAAGUCGUAACAAGGUUUCCGUAG